RNAcentral lists this ribosomal RNA (484 nucleotides) under uncultured bacterium. RNAcentral describes it as "partial 16S ribosomal RNA". It matches the Rfam family "Bacterial small subunit ribosomal RNA", at positions 29 to 507 of the family's 1533-position model. The record is from RNAcentral.
AUUGAACGCUGGCGGCAUGCUUUACACAUGCAAGUCGAACGGCAGCGCGGGCUUCGGCCUGGCGGCGAGUGGCGAACGGGUGAGUAAUACAUCGGAACGUGCCCAGUAGUGGGGGAUAGCUCGGCGAAAGCCGGAUUAAUACCGCAUACGACCUGAGGGUGAAAGCGGGGGAUCUUCGGACCUCGCGCUAUUGGAGCGGCCGAUGGCAGAUUAGCUAGUUGGUGGGGUAAAGGCCUACCAAGGCGACGAUCUGUAGCUGGUCUGAGAGGACGACCAGCCACACUGGGACUGAGACACGGCCCAGACUCCUACGGGAGGCAGCAGUGGGGAAUUUUGGACAAUGGGCGAAAGCCUGAUCCAGCAAUGCCGCGUGUGUGAUGAAGGCCUUCGGGUUGUAAAGCACUUUUGGCGGGAAAGAAAAGGACUGUGCCAAUACCACGGUUCGAUGACGGUACCCGCAGAAUAAGCACCGGCUAACUACGCG